RNAcentral lists this ribosomal RNA (490 nucleotides) under uncultured bacterium. RNAcentral describes it as "partial 16S ribosomal RNA". It matches the Rfam family "Bacterial small subunit ribosomal RNA", at positions 28 to 507 of the family's 1533-position model. The record is from RNAcentral.
GAUGAACGCUAGCUACAGGCUUAACACAUGCAAGUCGCGGGGCAGCAUGGGGGUUGCUUGCACCUCCCGAUGGCGACCGGCGCACGGGUGAGUAACGCGUAUCCAACCUGCCCUUCACCACGGGAUAACCCGGCGAAAGUCGGACUAAUACCGUAUGUUGUCCAUUGACGGCAUCCGAUUUGGACGAAAGGCUUUGCGGUGAAGGAUGGGGAUGCGUCCGAUUAGCCAGACGGCGGGGUAACGGCCCACCGUGGCUACGAUCGGUAGGGGUUCUGAGAGGAAGGUCCCCCACACUGGAACUGAGACACGGUCCAGACUCCUACGGGAGGCAGCAGUGAGGAAUAUUGGUCAAUGGGCGUAAGCCUGAACCAGCCAAGUAGCGUGCAGGAUGACGGCCCUAUGGGUUGUAAACUGCUUUUAUGCGGGGAUAAAGUGGCCCACGUGUGGGCUUUUGCAGGUACCGCAUGAAUAAGGACCGGCUAAUUCCGUG